GCGGGGGUGGAGCAGCUCGGUAGCUCGUCGGGCUCAUAACCCGAAGGUCGUCGGUUCAAAUCCGGCCCCCCGCA
RNAcentral lists this transfer RNA (74 nucleotides) under Escherichia coli. Its description in RNAcentral is "tRNA-Met". It matches the Rfam family "tRNA". From Rfam's summary of the family: Transfer RNA (tRNA) molecules are approximately 80 nucleotides in length. Their secondary structure includes four short double-helical elements and three loops (D, anti-codon, and T loops). The record is from RNAcentral. Lineage: Bacteria; Pseudomonadati; Pseudomonadota; Gammaproteobacteria; Enterobacterales; Enterobacteriaceae.